AGCUCUUCUUGGUGUUGGUCCCCUGUGGUGUGCCACUCAAGUUUUCUGUGGGGAGCUGAAAGGAUGCAAGAUUUCCAUCAUGUUUCAGCAGGAGUCAGGCCUAAAUCAAAUUGUUUGCAGUAAGAGGAGAGAAGAUAAGUCCUUAGAAGCAAACAGGUAAGUUUGUGAAACAAUGCUUUGCUAAAGAAUGUUGUCCAAAAAUGCUUUGUCCCAAGAAAGAAGAAGAGUCCAAAGCAUCUACAUACCAGAUACUAUAAAAUCUCUCAGGGAAUCCUUUGUCCUGUCCUCACUGAAAGUUUCAAGUUUUCAGAAUGCAAGUACAGUACUUCUGAAGGACUAUUGGGAGAACAAAUUGGAAAGAGGCCUUGUAUUUGGCUGAAGAGACCUACGAAGAGUGAGAACUGCACAGGGCCUUGUGACUGCUACACCUUAAGAAUAUUCUAUCUUUUUUUUUUUUACACUUGGCACUUCAGUAGCUUUGAGCAGCUGUGUGUCAGGUUCACCAGUGAGAAAGUGCAACAGUUCUUCAACCACCAAAUGUUUGUGCUGGAGCAGCAGGAGUAAAAGAAGGAAGGAAUUGAAUGGGCAUUAAUUGACUUUGGGAUGGACUGGGCUGCCGGUAUUAAGCUGAUUAAGAAGGUAUCCUUCCUAUUCAUAUGCAUUAAUGUCUGAAUUCUCUAGUUAGUGAAGGAUAACUAAUGAUCUGGUGUAUACUGAAUUAAAAUGUUAAAUUUCAGUUAGUAAGCUUCUCUGUAUUUUUGUGAUUUGU
Molecule: long non-coding RNA, 769 nt
Filed under: Numida meleagris (helmeted guineafowl)
Lineage: Eukaryota; Metazoa; Chordata; Aves; Galliformes; Numididae
Description: lncRNA (ENSNMEG00000013236.1)
Source: RNAcentral